Molecule: transfer RNA, 72 nt
Filed under: Camelus bactrianus (Bactrian camel)
Lineage: Eukaryota; Metazoa; Chordata; Mammalia; Artiodactyla; Camelidae
Also listed under: 3 other names
Rfam family: tRNA
About the family: Transfer RNA (tRNA) molecules are approximately 80 nucleotides in length. Their secondary structure includes four short double-helical elements and three loops (D, anti-codon, and T loops).
Source: Rfam by way of RNAcentral
GAAGGUAUAGCUCAGUGGUGGAAUGCCUGCUUAGCCUGUACAGGGUCCUGGGUUCAAUCCCCAGUACCUCCA